RNAcentral lists this ribosomal RNA (465 nucleotides) under Vreelandella stevensii. RNAcentral's name for it is "partial 16S ribosomal RNA". It matches the Rfam family "Bacterial small subunit ribosomal RNA", at positions 338 to 795 of the family's 1533-position model. Lineage: Bacteria; Pseudomonadati; Pseudomonadota; Gammaproteobacteria; Oceanospirillales; Halomonadaceae. The record is from RNAcentral.
CCUACGGGGGGCAGCAGUGGGGGAUAUUGGACAAUGGGCGAAAGCCUGAUCCAGCCAUGCCGCGUGUGUGAAGAAGGCCUUCGGGUUGUAAAGCACUUUCAGUGGGGAAGAAAGCCUUGGGGCUAAUACCCUCGAGGAAGGACAUCACCCACAGAAGAAGCACCGGCUAACUCCGUGCCAGCAGCCGCGGUAAUACGGAGGGUGCGAGCGUUAAUCGGAAUUACUGGGCGUAAAGCGCGCGUAGGCGGUCUGAUAAGCCGGUUGUGAAAGCCCCGGGCUCAACCUGGGAACGGCAUCCGGAACUGUCAGGCUAGAGUGCAGGAGAGGAAGGUAGAAUUCCCGGUGUAGCGGUGAAAUGCGUAGAGAUCGGGAGGAAUACCAGUGGCGAAGGCGGCCUUCUGGACUGACACUGACGCUGAGGUGCGAAAGCGUGGGUAGCAAACAGGAUUAGAUACCCGGGUAGUC